RNAcentral lists this unclassified non-coding RNA (479 nucleotides) under Hevea brasiliensis (rubber tree). Lineage: Eukaryota; Viridiplantae; Streptophyta; Magnoliopsida; Malpighiales; Euphorbiaceae. The record is from RNAcentral.
GCGCGGCAUCUAACGGUGGAGGUUCAAUGUAAAAAUUCCUCCGGGAUCAAAACCGUUGGGAUCGCAAAAGUUCCGACGUCGGAUUUUAUUGGAGGAAUUUUGCCCGAAGAUUAUUUGCAUUUUUUGAGUUAUAGGCUUAGGAAUGAAAAGGGGGAGAAGAAUGGGAUAAUUAAUUUUUCUGUUAGGGUUAAAAAUGCGGCGGCGCCGUCUCAAAGUGCGGCCGGCUGCGCUGCGGCUUAUACGAAGGCCGCACCGGUGGAUAUGGGAAGUAGUUAUAACGGUUCUUGUGGGAUUGUUACGGGUUUGCCCGUUUAUCCGGGGAAUUUUCUAGGUAAUUCAAUGGCGAAGAGAUUUUAAAUUUUUGUUCUUUUAUUUAUUUUAUCAAAUUGAAUUUGUAUAGACAUGUUUAGGAUGAAUUUGAUAACUGCUUUACUCGACAGAAAGUUAUGUCGUGUUUAUUAAUUAAUAGUCUAUCAAUU